This 253-nucleotide ribosomal RNA is filed under the name uncultured bacterium. RNAcentral's name for it is "partial 16S ribosomal RNA". It matches the Rfam family "Bacterial small subunit ribosomal RNA", at positions 524 to 776 of the family's 1533-position model. The record is from RNAcentral.
UACGUAGGGUGCGAGCGUUGUCCGGAAUUAUUGGGCGUAAAGGGCUCGUAGGCGGUCUGUCACGUCGGGAGUGAAAACACGGGGCUUAACCCCGUGCCUGCUUCCGAUACGGGCAGACUAGAGGUAUGCAGGGGAGAACGGAAUUCCUGGUGUAGCGGUGAAAUGCGCAGAUAUCAGGAGGAACACCGGUGGCGAAGGCGGUUCUCUGGGCAUUACCUGACGCUGAGGAGCGAAAGCGUGGGGAGCAAACAGG